GCAGAUCCAAUUUUCUGCCACCGAAUACAUUAGCAUGGGAUAAUGGAAUAGGACCCUGUCCUCCUAUUUUCAGUUGGUUUUGGCAGCGCGAGGACUAGGGUAAUGAUUAAUAGGGAUAGUUGGGGGCAUUAAUAUUUAAUUGUCAGAGGUGAAAUUCUUGGAUUUAUGAAAGAUUAACUUCUGCGAAAGCAUCUGCCAAGGAUGUUUUCAUUAAUCAAGAACGAAAGUUAGGGGAUCGAAGACGAUCAGAUACCGUCGUAGUCUUAACCAUAAACGAUGCCGACCAGCGAUUAGGAGACGUUGAAUACAAAACACCACCAUCGGCGCGGUCGUCCUUGGCGUCUCGGUUUCGGCCGGGGCGCGGGGAUG
Molecule: ribosomal RNA, 369 nt
Filed under: Acanthamoeba sp. KHITW4/PAK/T4
Lineage: Eukaryota; Discosea; Longamoebia; Acanthamoebidae
Also listed under: 1 other name
Description: SSU rRNA
Rfam family: Eukaryotic small subunit ribosomal RNA
Source: RNAcentral